GGGGAUGUAGCUCAGAUGGUAGAGCGCUCGCUUAGCAUGCGAGACAUCUUCA
Molecule: transfer RNA, 52 nt
Filed under: Ipomoea nil (Japanese morning glory)
Lineage: Eukaryota; Viridiplantae; Streptophyta; Magnoliopsida; Solanales; Convolvulaceae
Rfam family: tRNA
About the family: Transfer RNA (tRNA) molecules are approximately 80 nucleotides in length.
Source: Rfam by way of RNAcentral